CCUACGGGAGGCAGCAGUGAGGAAUAUUGGUCAAUGGGCGGAAGCCUGAACCAGCCAAGUAGCGUGCGGGAUGAAGGCCCUACGGGUUGUAAACCGCUUUUGCACGGGGAUAACACCCUCCACUUGUGGAGGUCUGCAGGUACCGUGCGAAUAAGGGCCGGCUAAUUCCGUGCCAGCAGCCGCGGUAAUACGGAAGGCCCGAGCGUUAUCCGGAUUUAUUGGGGUUAAAGGGAGCGUAGGCGGGCGUUCAAGUCAGCGGUAAAAUCGCGCGGCUCAACCGCGACCCGCUGUUGAAACUGGACGCCUUGAGUGCAGAAGAGGCAGGCGGAAUUCGUGGUGUAGCGGUGAAAUGCGUAGAUAUCAGGAGGAACCCCGAUUGCGAAGGCAGCCUGCCGGGGUGCGACUGACGCUGAGGCUCGAAGGUGCGGGUAUCAAACAGGAUUAGAUACCCCUGUAGUC
RNAcentral lists this ribosomal RNA (459 nucleotides) under uncultured bacterium. Its description in RNAcentral is "partial 16S ribosomal RNA". It matches the Rfam family "Bacterial small subunit ribosomal RNA", at positions 338 to 795 of the family's 1533-position model. The record is from RNAcentral.